CCACAGCCUGAAGAACCCUCCUCUUAUCUGCUCUUUCAAACUGCUCACUCUGUGGAUUCUCCACGGAAAAUACAAGGUCUUCUAGUAGAAUGGGCCUUGCUUUUUCAGAUAUAGUUAUGAGGAAAGAAACAACUUUGAACCUGUGCCAGGGAGGAGGAAGCCAGGAAGAAAAUGAAGCCUAAAACCAACUCAGGCACCAAACCCAGCAUUUGUCUUUGACCUCUAGGAAUCAGUCCCGUCAGGAAGCCAUGAAAUGGGACAGAAUGCGGAAGCACCAUGAACCCAAAAGUGAGUUUCAAGAUCCACCUGGAGUUUUAAAGCCUUGGUGUUGCUGCCCACAGGAGGAGCCCACAGGAGAUGGGCAGAGGAAAACCAGCCCAGGGAAUCCUUCUGCAAAUAACCCAACAGAUCACACUGGCAGUUGCUCCUGGAUACUUCCUUAUUCCUGAUAUCUGCAAACUCUGGGUCUAGAGUACCUUUAUUGCUGCCCCCACUUUUAGGAACAGUGUAGUCCAUAAAUGUACUGGGCUCUUCUUUCUUCUGGGACUUCCUAUUGUUUCAUAUGCCUUAUUUUUGGCAUAUGAAACAACACAUAUAUAUAUAUAUCUAUAUAUAAAAUAUAUGUAUUAUAUAUAAUAUAUAAUAUAUAUAACCCACACAUAUACAUAUAUAUGCCAGAAAUAAAGCAUGUAUACUUGUUUUGUAUGCCAAAUUUUGCCUUAUAUAUGUAUAUAUGUAUACGACUGUUUUAUCUGCCACUGUGAACCAGCAACCCUGUAAAAGCCCUGUGCUAAUCUUUUCCUCAAUAAUUAAGGAGUGUUGUGUGUACUUGUGUUUAAUCUACAAUUUGUGAUAGCUAAACUCUUCCUGCCACUUAAGAUCAUGAGAUUGGUUCAAACCCUAGAUUCAUGUCUUGUGAAAAAUUUAAGGGCAUCUCCAAGAUUUCUAGGAAUACUCAGUAUAGUCAUUGCCAUAGCCAUUUUUAUUUUCAAACUCUUGCUUCUACUAAGUUAAUACAAAUAAUAUAUUAGCACUGUUCCAAACAUUGUUUACUCAGAUGCCGACUGCAGAGGCUUCCUUAUUGUCAACACACACACACACACACACACACACACACACACACACACACCUUAUUCACACAAGGCCUUUGCUGGCAUUGCUGACUUUACUGAUGCUCUGGACAGACGGUCUAGGUUGAUAUUGCUAGAAAUUUGAAACUGAAUUUUGAACACUGUCCCGUGGCAUUUUCUGCCGACAAUGGAUCAAGUCUUGCACCAUGUUUAUAAUUGUCUUCUCUCUUGCUCCUCUUUCAGUUUCCCUCAGUUUUUCUUCUUUGUUUUUUCCCACAUCAUCCUACUCAUUUCUAUUCAGUCCCGGUACAUUUUACAUUUCCUGGUUUUUCGCUAAU
Molecule: long non-coding RNA, 1408 nt
Organism: Piliocolobus tephrosceles (Ugandan red Colobus)
Lineage: Eukaryota; Metazoa; Chordata; Mammalia; Primates; Cercopithecidae
Exons: 3
Source: RefSeq, a predicted model, not a curated record